GGAUGAGUGGUCUAGUGGUUAAGAUACUUGUCUCACACACAGGUGAUCGGGAGUUCAAAUCUCUCCUCAUCCA
Molecule: transfer RNA, 73 nt
Filed under: Thermoproteota archaeon
Lineage: Archaea; Thermoproteati; Thermoproteota
Description: tRNA-Val
Rfam family: tRNA
About the family: Transfer RNA (tRNA) molecules are approximately 80 nucleotides in length.
Source: RNAcentral